GCUGGGUGUGGUGGUGGGUGCCUGUAAUCCUAGCUACUAGGGAGGCUGAGGCACAAGAAUUGCUUGAACCCGGGAGGCAGGGGUUGCAGUGAGCCGAGAUUGUGCCACUGCACUCCAGCCUGGGUGACAAAGUGAGAUUUUGUCUCAA
Molecule: non-coding RNA, 148 nt
Filed under: Gorilla gorilla gorilla (western lowland gorilla)
Lineage: Eukaryota; Metazoa; Chordata; Mammalia; Primates; Hominidae
Source: Rfam by way of RNAcentral